RNAcentral lists this ribosomal RNA (498 nucleotides) under uncultured Sphingobacteriales bacterium. RNAcentral's name for it is "bacterial SSU rRNA". It matches the Rfam family "Bacterial small subunit ribosomal RNA", at positions 904 to 1382 of the family's 1533-position model. The record is from RNAcentral. Lineage: Bacteria; Pseudomonadati; Bacteroidota; Sphingobacteriia; Sphingobacteriales.
CCUGCCAGCCCGCUCAGAACUACAAGGAAUUGACGGGGCCGCACAAGCGGAGGAGCAUGUGGUUUAAUUCGAUGAUACGCGAGGAACCUUACCUGGGCUCGAACGUAAGAUGACUGUAGGUGAAAGCUUACAUCUCUUCGGAGCAUUUUACGAGGUGCUGCAUGGUUGUCGUCAGCUCGUGCCGUGAGGUGUCGGGUUAAGUCCCAUAACGAGCGCAACCCUACCUUUAGUUGCCAUCAGGUUAAGCUGGGGACUCUAAAGGAACUGCCUACGCAAGUAGUGAGGAAGGCGGGGAUGACGUCAAAUCAGCACGGCCCUUACGUCCAGGGCUACACACGUGCUACAAUGGCCGAUACAGAGGGCAGCUACCUGGUGACAGGAUGCAAAUCUCCAAAGUCGGUCUCAGUUCGGAUCGGAGUCUGCAACCCGACUCCGUGAAGUUGGAUUCGCUAGUAAUCGCGCAUCAGCCAUGGCGCGGUGAAUACGUUCCCGGGCCUU